GGAAGGAUCAUUAACAAAUUGAAUCCAAUUCAUAACCGUGUCUUGUUACCUGGCGUCAGCCAGUGAUUUUCAAACCCAAUUUUCUGAUCUUUUACUUCUCGAGAGCAAUCUCGUGAAACUAAUUGAUACAACUGUUAACAACGGAUCACUCGGUUCUCACAUCGAUGAAGAGCGUAGCGAAUUGCGUUAAUUGAUGCGACUUGCAUAAAUCGUGAAUCAUUGAGUUCUUGAACGCACAUUGCACCUUUUGGUACUCCGAAAGGUCUGCCUGUUUGAGUAUUGAUUUAACCAAUAAACUCAAGUUCGCUGUUUUGGCCAUCGUCAAACAGCUGGCUUGGAAUUGAGGUUUCGGCACGCCCGCUGAUGCCUUCAAAUAAAAGUUAAACUUUCCCUAUGUCAGCAUGUUUAGUUGAACUUGAACACAUUAUGUUUUAGUCGGGCUCGUCAAAGUCUGUCAAUCAUAAAGUGAACAAGCACCACUAAAUGCCGUUGUUUGGCCUCCUUCGUCAAAAGGAGUGGGUUAGUCUAAAACUAAAUUUUGUACAAACUCGAUCUCAAAUCAGGUAGGAUUACCCGCUGAACUUAAGCAUAUUAAUAAGCGGAGGAAAAGAAACCAACAGGGAUUCCCUUAGUAACGGCGAGUGAACCGGGAAGAGCUCAAAUUUGAAAUCAAGUCAGCUCAAGCUGGUCUUGACGUGUAGUUUGAUGAGGCAUGUUCGGCGAUGGUCUGGGCUUAAGUCCUUUGGAAAAAGGCAUCAUAGAGGGUGAUAAUCCCGUAUGUAGCUCAUGAAACUUAUUGCCAUGUGAACUGUCUUCAAAGAGUCGAGUUGCUUGGGAGUGCAGCUCUAAAUGGGUGGUAAAUUCCAUCUAAAGCUAAAUAUUAGUGAGAGACCGAUAGCAAACAAGUACCGUGAGGGAAAGUUGAAAAGCACUCUGAAGAGAGAGUCAAACAGUACGUGAAAUUGUUAACAGGAAAACGUUGGGCACCAGUACACAUUGAUGUGAAUUCAGCUUCGCGCUAGUGAUGGUGUCUUUGUUCAGAGUCUUUCGGGGCCUGGGCAAGGGCAUUGAGUUGCUAGAGUGGGGUGCACUUUUGCAUCGAUGGGUCAACAUCAGUUAGUGACGUUAUAUAACACCUCAAGGAAUGUAGGAAUCGCUUCGGUGAUUCAACUUAUAGACUUGGGGACUGCAUAAUGCUGCUGACUGAGGAUUCGCGGUCUACGCCUUUAGGCAGGGCUAUUAGGCAAAGUGGUUGGCAGUAGGGCUUAACAACCUAGUUGAUGAGUUCUAUGACGCUAAACACCUUGUUUGAUGUGCCACUAGUAGACCAAGGAUGUUGGCGAAAUGGUAUUCAACGACCCGUCUUGAAACACGGACCAAGGAGUCUAACAAAUAUGCAAGUAUUUGGGUGCAAAACCCGAAUGCGUAAUGAAAGUGAUCAUGGUAAGAAGCUGCGCUUGCGCGGCCGCAUUGCCAACCGAUCUAAUUUGGCUUCUGUCCAAAAGAUUUGAGUAAGAGCAUAUUCGUUAGGACCCGAAAGAUGGUGAACUAUGCCUGAGUAGGAUGAAGCCAGAGGAAACUCUGGUGGAGGUCCGUAGCGAUUCUGACGUGCAAAUCGAUCGUCAAACUUGGGUAUAGGGGCGAAAGACUAAUCGAACCAUCUAGUAGCUGGUUCCUGC
This 1679-nucleotide unclassified non-coding RNA is filed under the name uncultured fungus. RNAcentral's name for it is "sequence contains 18S rRNA gene, ITS1, 5.8S rRNA gene, ITS2, 28S rRNA gene". The stretch from base 550 to 1679 matches the Rfam family "Eukaryotic large subunit ribosomal RNA", at positions 1 to 961 of the family's 3401-position model. Lineage: Eukaryota; Fungi. The record is from RNAcentral.